GUAAAUAUAGUUUAAAAAAAACAUUAGACUGUGAAUCUAAUAAUAGGAAAUAACCCUCCUUAUUUACC
RNAcentral lists this transfer RNA (68 nucleotides) under Otomys irroratus (Vlei rat). RNAcentral's name for it is "tRNA-His". It matches the Rfam family "tRNA". Rfam says of the family: Transfer RNA (tRNA) molecules are approximately 80 nucleotides in length. Their secondary structure includes four short double-helical elements and three loops (D, anti-codon, and T loops). Lineage: Eukaryota; Metazoa; Chordata; Mammalia; Rodentia; Muridae. The record is from RNAcentral.